GAUGAAGAACGCAGCGAAAUGCGAUAAGUAAUGUGAAUUGCAGAAUUCAGUGAAUCAUCGAAUCUUUGAACGCACAUUGCGCCCGCUGGUAUUCCGGCGGGCAUGCCUGUUCGAGCGUCAUUUCAACCCUCAAGCUCUCCGGAGUUUGGUGUUGGGGCGCCUGGGGCUUUUCGACCUCAGGGCCCUCAAGUCCAUCGGCGGGACCGCCAUGACACUGAGCGCAGUAGUAUUAUUUCGCUCGGUAGGAUCUUCCACGGCGGGUCGAUCUGGCCGCUAAACCCCCCAAUUCUCACCAAUGGUUGACCUCGGAUCAGGUAGGAAUACCCGCUGAACUUAAGCAUAUCAAUAAGCGGAGGA
Molecule: unclassified non-coding RNA, 357 nt
Filed under: soil metagenome
Description: partial contains 5.8S ribosomal RNA, internal transcribed spacer 2, and large subunit ribosomal RNA
Rfam family: 5.8S ribosomal RNA (bases 1-120)
Source: RNAcentral